This 754-nucleotide long non-coding RNA is filed under the name Gossypium barbadense (sea-island cotton). Its description in RNAcentral is "long non-coding RNA (GBAR_LNC015430)". Lineage: Eukaryota; Viridiplantae; Streptophyta; Magnoliopsida; Malvales; Malvaceae. The record is from RNAcentral.
CAGGUUCCAAUUAUUACAGAUUAAAUCAUAACUCUUCCAAUACUAAUAUGUCUGUAGUUGCGAAGCUAAUAGAUAAUGUCAACAGAGAGUGGAAUAAAGAGCUUAUCAUCAAUACGUUCUCGGCAGCAGAUGUGGCCAGGAUUUUGCAGAUUCCCCUGGCAACAGAGCGACAUGAUGACAUAGUGGUGUGGAGGGGUGAGCCUUCAGGCGAGUUCUCCAUCCGCAGCGCCUAUAAACUAUUACAAAAAACUUUAGAUAAGUUAUAGGCCACUUCAAAAAACUUUUACAAAAAACUCUAGAGCCUAAAGCUUUCUACUAAAUUGAAAAUUAUAAUAUGGAUAUCAAUGAAUUUCAUCCCGACUCUUGUGAACUUAAAUCACAAAGGAAUGGUGUCCAACAUGGGCUACCCCAAAUGCAAUAGAGAAAUCAAAACUAUGGAUCAUACUUUCCAAAUAUGUCCUGUUUCAGUGGAAGUUUGGUCUCUAUUAGGGAUGCAAUGGAUCUUACAAAAACCAGACUUUGAUAGUUUUACAUGGCUUACCUGGGUCUUUGAAGAGAGCUCACUGUAUCAAAUGAGGUUGUUUUGUUGUGCUCUUUGGGCCCUCUAGAUGGAUAGAAACAAAAUAUUGCAUGAAGGAAAGACCCAAUCUGCAAGGGAGAUCUCUAGAUUCAUAUAUAGCUACAUAAAAGAAAUGGACAGUUUAGAAGGAAGUGGACUUACAAGAAAUGCUGAAAUAACGACCUGGGUACCCCC